UACAGAGGGGGCAAACGUUGUUCGGAAUUACUGGGCGUAAAGCGUGUGUAGGCGGCCACGUAAGUCGGAUGUGAAAGCCCCGGGCUCAACCCGGGAAGUGCACUCGAUACUGCGUGGCUUGAGUACUGGAGAGGUUGGUGGAAUUCUCGGUGUAGAGGUGAAAUUCGUAGAUAUCGAGAGGAACACCGGUGGCGAAGGCAGCUCGCUGGGACGGUACUGACGCUGAGACGCGAAAGCGUGGGGAGCAAACAGG
Molecule: ribosomal RNA, 253 nt
Filed under: uncultured bacterium
Lineage: Bacteria
Description: partial 16S ribosomal RNA
Rfam family: Bacterial small subunit ribosomal RNA
Source: RNAcentral